CAGUCGACGGUGAAGCAGAGCUUGCUCUGUGGAUCAGUGGCGAACGGGUGAGUAACACGUGAGCAAUCUGCCCCUGACUCUGGGAUAAGCGCUGGAAACGGCGUCUAAUACUGGAUACGAGCCGUGAAGGCAUCUUCAACGGUUGGAAAGAUUUUUCGGUCAGGGAUGAGCUCGCGGCCUAUCAGCUUGUUGGUGAGGUAAUGGCUCACCAAGGCGUCGACGGGUAGCCGGCCUGAGAGGGUGACCGGCCACACUGGGACUGAGACACGGCCCAGACUCCUACGGGAGGCAGCAGUGGGGAAUAUUGCACAAUGGGCGCAAGCCUGAUGCAGCAACGCCGCGUGAGGGAUGACGGCCUUCGGGUUGUAAACCUCUUUUAGCAGGGAAGAAGCGAAAGUGACGGUACCUGCAGAAAAAGCGCCGGCUAACUACGUGCCAGCAGCCGCGGUAAUACGUAGGGCGCAAGCGUUAUCCGGAAUUAUUGGGCGUAAAGAGCUCGUAGGCGGUUUGUCGCGUCUGCUGUGAAAUCCCGAGGCUCAACCUCGGGUCUGCAGUGGGUACGGGCAGACUAGAGUGCGGUAGGGGAGAUUGGAAUUCCUGGUGUAGCGGUGGAAUGCGCAGAUAUCAGGAGGAACACCGAUGGCGAAGGCAGAUCUCUGGGCCGUAACUGACGCUGAGGAGCGAAAGGGUGGGGAGCAAACAGGCUUAGAUACCCUGGUAGUCCACCCCGUAAACGUUGGGAACUAGUUGUGGGGUCCAUUCCACGGAUUCCGUGACGCAGCUAACGCAUUAAGUUCCCCGCCUGGGGAGUACGGCCGCAAGGCUAAAACUCAAAGGAAUUGACGGGGACCCGCACAAGCGGCGGAACAUGCGGGAUUAAUUCGAUGC
This 888-nucleotide ribosomal RNA is filed under the name Microbacterium dextranolyticum. RNAcentral's name for it is "bacterial SSU rRNA". It matches the Rfam family "Bacterial small subunit ribosomal RNA", at positions 59 to 957 of the family's 1533-position model. Lineage: Bacteria; Bacillati; Actinomycetota; Actinomycetes; Micrococcales; Microbacteriaceae. The record is from RNAcentral.